AACUUUAACCUUUUCAUUGGUAACCUAAAACAUCACAACAUUUUUGCAAUGUAUCAAUAAAUCCAACCAAUAAAUUCUUGCGUUGUUUAAUGGAAAUAAAAUAAAAUGCCAACGGACAACUUCAUUGAAAAGAACAAGCAAUAUGAACUUCAAACAAGGAAGCACAAAGUUCAUGUCAACAAAGGCACAUCAAACUUCAGACAGGAACAUAUUUCCGGUUUAAGAAAAACUUCAACUGCCACAUAUCCCAAAGAGAUUUCUUACCUUAUACAAGAAAGAAGAAAAUACUACUUACUCACUGCCUCACUCCCAUAUUGAACUAAACAAUAAUCAGCAUGCAUUAAACAUAGAUCCCAUGAUGGCAUGAUUCAAUUUACUAUUAAAAAUAAAAGCACCAUGUUACAUAUCUCAUAAUCUCUGACUUAUUUAUUUAUUUAUUUAU
RNAcentral lists this unclassified non-coding RNA (442 nucleotides) under Hevea brasiliensis (rubber tree). The record is from RNAcentral. Lineage: Eukaryota; Viridiplantae; Streptophyta; Magnoliopsida; Malpighiales; Euphorbiaceae.